RNAcentral lists this ribosomal RNA (346 nucleotides) under Bathyglycinde cf. profunda NHM_999. RNAcentral describes it as "partial large subunit ribosomal RNA". The record is from RNAcentral. Lineage: Eukaryota; Metazoa; Annelida; Polychaeta; Phyllodocida; Goniadidae.
GAAUGGACACACGAAAGUAUUUCUGUCUCUUUUAUAUCAAUAAAAAUUGAAUUAUAGGUGAAGAUGCCUAUAUAUUUUUAAAGGACAAAAAGACCCUAUUGAGCUUUAUUUCUUAUUAAUUAAAAAAGAAAUACCACAAAUUUUUAUUAAAAGGAGAUUCUGUUGGGGCGACAAAGGAACACAAAAAACUUCCAAAAAAAAAAAGAAAACACUUCUAUUCAAUGAUCCUUAAUAGCUAAAGAAACCAGCUACCAUAGGGAUAACAGGCUAAUCAUUUUAAAGAGUUCAUAUUGAUAAAAUGGGUUGGCACCUCGAUGUUGGCUUAGGGUAUCCUAUAAGUGCARAA